Molecule: ribosomal RNA, 462 nt
Filed under: uncultured bacterium
Lineage: Bacteria
Description: partial 16S ribosomal RNA
Rfam family: Bacterial small subunit ribosomal RNA
Source: RNAcentral
GAUGAACGCUGACAGAAUGCUUAACACAUGCAAGUCAUUGGCGAAGCUGCGCUUGCGCAGUCUAGCCAAGGCGGACGGGUGAGUAACGCGUAAGGAACUUGCUCUGCAGACAGGGAUAACAGACGGAAAAGACUGAUAACACCAGGUAAUGUCAGGUUGGCGCACGUCGGCCGGAUGAAAGGAGGUGCUGCGGGAGAGCCUUGCGUCCUACUUGCUAGUUGGUGGGGUAACGGCCCACCAAGGCGAGCAUAGGUAGCCGGCCUGAGGGGGUGAACGGCCACAGGGGGUCUGAGAUACGGCCCAUACUCCUGCGAGGGGCAGCUGUGGGGAAUAGUGGACAAGGGGGGCGACCCUUGUCCAGCAACUCUGUGUGCAAGAAGAAGGUUUUCGGAUUAUAAAGUGCUUUCAGCAGGGAAGAAGAAAGUGACGGUACCUGCAGAAGAAGCGACGGCUAAAUACGUG